CCUACGGGAGGCAGCAGCGGGGAAUUUUGGACAAUGGACGCAAGUCUGAUCCAGCCAUGCCGCGUGCGGGAAGAAGGCCUUCGGGUUGUAAACCGCUUUUGUCAGGGAAGAAAUCUUCUGAAUUAAUACUUCGGGAGGAUGACGGUACCUGAAGAAUAAGCACCGGCUAACUACGUGCCAGCAGCCGCGGUAAUACGUAGGGUGCAAGCGUUAAUCGGAAUUACUGGGCGUAAAGCGUGCGCAGGCGGUUAUGCAAGACAGGUGUGAAAUCCCCGAGCUCAACUUGGGAACUGCACUUGUGACUGCAUAGCUAGAGUACGGUAGAGGGGAGUGGAAUUCCGCGUGUAGCAGUGAAAUGCGUAGAUAUGCGGAGGAACACCGAUGGCGAAGGCAGCUCCCUGGACCUGUACUGACGCUCAUGCACGAAAGCGUGGGGAGCAAACAGGAUUAGAUACCCUGGUAGUCCACGCCCUAAACGAUGUCAACUGGUUGUUGGGAGGGUUUCUCUCAGUAACGUAGCUAACGCGUGAAGUUGACCGCCUGGGGAGUACGGCCGCAAGGUUGAAACUCAAAUGAAUUGACCGG
This 585-nucleotide ribosomal RNA is filed under the name uncultured bacterium. Its description in RNAcentral is "bacterial SSU rRNA". It matches the Rfam family "Bacterial small subunit ribosomal RNA", at positions 338 to 917 of the family's 1533-position model. The record is from RNAcentral.